RNAcentral lists this long non-coding RNA (3468 nucleotides) under Sus scrofa (pig). RNAcentral describes it as "lncRNA (ENSSSCG00000060694.1)". The record is from RNAcentral. Lineage: Eukaryota; Metazoa; Chordata; Mammalia; Artiodactyla; Suidae.
AAGACUACAUAAGAUUUGAGCAAUGUGUGAGUCUAAAUCAUAGGUUCCCCAGCUGGGUGGAUGCCCCUUUCUGCUCUUGGCUUCAACAGAGAGGGUGAAAAAUCUUUGGGGGAAGGGAUGGGUGACUGAUGGUAGGACAUUAAUUGCUUUCCACUGGUUGGUUGAUUUGGCUGUAAAGAGAAAGGCCUGCCCUCACCCCAAAGAGCUUACAUCUGUUUCUCAUACAGCUCAGCCACCCAUGCUGCUUCAGCCAUCCCCUACUGGUGGCCAGGCUACCACUUUAUUGAUUUUUCCCCCUGCCCUUUUAAAAAGAUGAAAGUUCCUAAAAGCUUUUUGCAUGCACGUAUGUGUGUUUGUCCGCAUGUCCAUGUGUAUGUUGGUGACAGCAGUGCUUUAGGUUGACAGUUAAAGCAGCAGCUAGGUGAACUAUCCUGUGUGUGUGAGUGUGUGUGUGUGUGUGUGUGUGUGUGUGUGUGUGUGUGUGUGUGUGUUUGUCUGUCUUUCUAACUAAUUACUCUAAGACUGUGCACCCCCAGUGGCAGAGCUGGCAGAAGCAUACCAAUUAGAAUGUGAUGACAACAAUUACUAAAGAUAAUUAGUUGACAAUGACUUGAGACCUCAUUAACCCCUUUAACACCUCGUGGUUUAUGAUUAAGAUGAAAUACUUGGAGACUGUUUAAAGGACAUCUUGUCACUACCAGGAUUUGUUUAGGUAUAGCUAGAAUAUUUGCUAUGUCUUUGAUAUGUCUUCCAUUCUUUUGUAACCACCACCAAUGAUUACCCAAAAUGGUACUCAUUAUUCUGUGGACAUCAAUGGAUUAAGGAUUUGUACUCAGAACCCUGUUCUUUUGCUUCUUUACCCAGCACUCUUCUACUCUCAUCCAGCCUUUUUAACCAAGUGAUGGUCAAAAUUUUUUUAAGGUCAGCCCCUUUGCUUUUAUAAAUUACAUGGAUUGAUAAAGCAAAUGGGGAUUUUUAUGGAAAUCACUCCAAUUGGGAGUUUAAUGACUGGAGAAUUCCACCAUGAGAAUUCAGUGUUCACAGGCUUGGACAAACCCGAGAUAUUCCACAAAUUUGCUAGCCCCUGGCUCUGAUAAACAUAUCAUAGUUUUCAUUUUUUUCUGAUGAGUCCUCAGUAAAUAUUUAAUGGAAGAAUUGAUGCUGAGAUUCCAGCACCAUCCAAAAUUUGUUCAGUUUAACACUGCUUCUAAACUAGACAUCAUUUAAACCACUAAAAGCAAAACAUACUGGCUCUAUCCUUUGUUACUAAAUAUUUCUUGGGAAAGAAGUUUUAAUGCUCUCGGGACAAUUUGAUUAUAAUACACAUUAAACUGCAAAUAUCAGACAUUUGAGUAUGUGGGAAGGUUUGAAAUAAACUUUGAUUACAAAAUGUCAAUCAUCUAUAAAGUUAUAAUCUCAAUAUCAGUUGUACUAUUUAGACACACAAUCAGUUGUACUGUUUAGACAUUCUACCUAUUUAUUUGAUGUGGAAGUUUCAUAUUUAUGAAGCCAAUACUACUGAGUUUGUCCAUUUUCAGAACAGUAGUCCUUACCUUUUUGGGGGUCACAGACCCAUUCAGGAAUGCAGUGAAAUCUAUGAAACCUCCAAUCUAUAAAAAGGCUCUAGUCACUUACACACCAAAUAGUUUGGAUUUCCUGGGAUUUGUGGAUUCUACAUUAAUAUUCUCUUGUCAUCAGUAAGCUGGGGGUGAUUUUAAUCUUCCAGACAUGUUGGUGAUGAUUAAUCCAUAAUAUGCAUGAAGGGAAGAUGGACCAUUUGCAAAUCCUAUUCAAACUGGAACUAAAAAAUCCAAAUCAGAAAAAAAAAUAGAUUCCUUGUUAUAAAAUAAGGGUCAAAGGUAAGUACAGUGGAUAUUUACUGAAAAGAUUGAUUGACAAGAAGUUCUGGGCAAGGACUUCUCACAACAUAAUCUAUCUGACUCCUCCAACAAAACUGGGAGAGAUGCUGGUUUAAAAUGCAUAUUCCUAGGGAGUUCUCUGUUGCCCUAGCGAUUAAGGAUCCAGCAUUGUCCCUGUUGUGGCUCAGGUCACUGCUCUAUCUCAGGGUUGGCCCCUGACCAGGGAACUGCUGCAUGCCUUGGGUGCAGCCAAAAAAACAAAAACGGAAUAAAACAAAAUGCACAUUCCUAUGCCCCCCCAUUUUGCCCACAAAAAUGGCAUCUCCUGUGAUGCCAUCUACAGCUCAGCUGAAAUCUCCAGGUUAUUCUUCUACACAGUUAAGACCAUCUCUUCUGUGCUCAUUCUUCACACUUCUCUUCCAUCUCUCACAAAGCACUUUAUUUAUAUUAGGAUUGUUAGUCAGUCACUGUGGAUGAAGAUCUUACAUAAACAGCCAGAAAACACUUUUGAUAACUCCAAUUUGGAUAGUGGAUGUCAUCAGGGAGAGAGCUCUUAAAGGCAGCUGCAAGCAAUUGUCACUCGGCUGCACUUACCAUCAGCGUCAGGCCACUUUAGACUGGCCCAUCACACUGUUUCAUUUUUUUGGUACUUAGUCAUUUGUUACAAUAAAAAUUAAGUUACAGGGAAGGAACACUGUGACAGGAUAAUGGACUCCUGCUCAGAAGAAACCGGCCUGCCUUCAAUUCAUCACAGCGUUUAUAGUGCAUUAGAAGACAUUACAGUGACAACACCGUUCCUUGGGGGCAGGAAGAAAACCCAGAUUGAGUGGAAAAGAGGGAAUUUACUUUGUGAACUAGGCAAAAGUGAAUAAAAGUUGAAUCCUGGGGUGGUUUAAAUUGCCAUGUUCAGCAAAGGAUAAGGGAAAAGCUAACAGUCUCAGAGGCUAACAUUCCAAUGCAGUAAAAAAAAUUAGCUUAGUUCACCUUGCAUCACAGGAGUAGUUUGUGAGUUAAAACGAAAUGGUUGCCUGAGGAAUAACAGAGAAGCAUGGAGAAAAUGGGCAAAGUUAAGGCAAUUUGAAAUGACUAAAGCCCACAAAAUAUUUUGCAAAUAAAAAAUCCUGGAGAGAAGCUUAAUAAUAAUAUUUGUCCAGAGGACUGGGCCAAAGAUAUCUAUAUUGUCUAGGUAUUUUAAUUGGAGGCCUGAAGCAUCAUUAUAAAAUUGUAAGAAAUCUAGGUCUGUGUUCUCAUAAAAGUAAAAAUGGUUGUUUGAUGUUAGAAAGCAGUGUUUUGAAAUGUAGAAGCUAUAGGAAGAGCACUGGGUAGGCAGGUCUGGCAAUUUAUUUCUGGGAACUUAAUAACUUUAUAGUAUUUUUACUAUUAUACUCACACUCUGUUAAUUCUGGGAAAAAAAAUGAUCGGUACCAGGCAACUUGGUAUAAUGGAGAAAAUAUCUUAAUUCUGCAAUUUUUUAAAGGUAAUCUUUUCCUAAACUAUACUUUUCUUAAAGUGACAUUUUUUUUUCAGAGAUCUGAGAUCUUUUUUUGGGUGUGUGAAAAAUUCAAGUUUUCUCAUUGAUAAAAUCUUUAAUUCACUUAAGAAUCAAUUU